UUCACCGACUUACUGAAGCACAAAAUUGGUUUGGUAACCUCAUUAAGCUUUGAACUUCAUAGCCAGGUGUAGCCAAUCAUGAGAAAAUGUAUUUAAUGUGGCCAAAUCCAAGUUGUUCUCCUAUUUGAAUCUCCUCUGAAGAGCGGUGUCAUGGGCUCCUCAAAACAGCUCUCAAAUGAUCUGAAAACAAAGAUUGUUCAACAUAGUUGUUUAGGGGAAAGGUACAAAAAGUUGUCUCAGACAUUUAACCUGUCAGUUUCCACUGUGAGGAGCAUAGUAAGGAAAUGGAAGACCACUGGGACAGUUCUUGUUAAGCCCAGAAGUGGCAGGCCAA
Non-coding RNA from Poecilia reticulata (guppy), 334 nucleotides. The record is from RefSeq and is a predicted model, not a curated record. Lineage: Eukaryota; Metazoa; Chordata; Actinopteri; Cyprinodontiformes; Poeciliidae.